Long non-coding RNA from Bombus pascuorum, 434 nucleotides. RefSeq lists it as uncharacterized. NCBI's taxonomy places the organism in Eukaryota, Metazoa, Arthropoda, Insecta, Hymenoptera, Apidae. The transcript is spliced from 2 exons. The record is from RefSeq and is a predicted model, not a curated record.
AUUGUUACUAUAAGUUAAUUAAAAUUUAAUUUUAUAAAUAUCUUACGAUCCUACCGUGGAAGACUGUCCUCGUAGAUUUCAAAAAUGAAAAUUCGAACGCGAUAACUGUAAGAAAAUCUUAAAAACUGCUAUAUAAAAAUGUAAAAAUAUUAAGGAUUGCACAAAACUAUAGUGUUAGAAAACUAAGAACAUGUAUGACUAUAAAAAAAUAAUAAACGAAGAAAAAAGAACAAUAGAAUGGGGUAAGAUAUCACGAGAUUAAAGACUUAUAUAAAGGAGAACUAUAAUACAAUAGAGAUAUAAAGAGUUAAAUAUUAAGAGUUUUAUUGGAUUGUAUAUAUAGAUAUUUGUUAUAAUGCUCUUUUACGUUUGUUUGUUUAUAAAUUACAUUUGCACCUUGUGUAUGUAGUAAUAAAUACUUUAUUUCAAUCACA